RNAcentral lists this ribosomal RNA (440 nucleotides) under uncultured bacterium. RNAcentral's name for it is "partial 16S ribosomal RNA". It matches the Rfam family "Bacterial small subunit ribosomal RNA", at positions 338 to 795 of the family's 1533-position model. The record is from RNAcentral.
CCUACGGGAGACAGCAGUGGGGAAUAUUGCACAAUGGGGGAAACCCUGAUGCAGCGACGCAGCGUGAGUGAAGAAGUAAUUCGUUACGUAAAGCUCUAUCAGUAGGGAAGAAAAUGACGGUACCUGAGUAAGAAGCCCCGGUUAACUUCGUGCCAGCAGCCGCGGUAAUACGUAGGGGGCAAGCGUUAUCCGGCUUUACUGGGUGUAAAGGGAGCUUAGACGGUGCGCCAAGUCUGGAGUGAAAUGCCGAAGCUUAACUGCGGAACUGCUUUGGACACUGGCGAACUAGAGUGCGGGAGGGGUAAGCGGAAUUCCUAGUGUAGCGGUGAAAUGCGUAGAUAUUAGGAGGAACACCGGUGGCGAAGGCGGCUUACUGGACCGUAACUGACGUUGAGGCUCGAAAGCGUGGGGAGCAAACAGGAUUAGAUACCCGAGUAGUC